Schizosaccharomyces pombe (fission yeast) is the source of this 555-nucleotide non-coding RNA. Lineage: Eukaryota; Fungi; Ascomycota; Schizosaccharomycetes; Schizosaccharomycetales; Schizosaccharomycetaceae. The record is from the annotation of a GenBank genome assembly.
UUCUCCUUCUUGUCUUUCUUUUCUUUCUUGCUCGGCUUUUCUGAAAUGGUUUCAACAGUCUCUUCAACGUCAAUGUCAACCUCCUCGUCUCCGUCUAUGUUAACACUCGAUAAUGCCUUUUCAUAAGCUUCUGCCAUUGCAAUACUAUUGCGAGUAGGGGCGACACCGGUAUCGAAAAAGUUGAGACGUUCCUCGACUUGUCGACGAAGAACUUGACCAAAUGCCGUAGUUGGGGCAUCGCUAAAGUUAUCAAUACGGCUAGCAAUAGAACAUUUGUUAGCCAAGAAACGAGAGAUGCGGCCUUUGUUUUUAGCGCCAGCUUUUCCAAUAAAACUAGAAUGGUAAAUAAUACCGUAUUUAGGCGUGUUUCCACGGGUUUUCAGAGCACGGAACAAAGCCUUUUCAGCACCUAGAAUCUGUACCGUAGAAGCCGGGCAUUUUGACAAGUUAGUUAGACUUCCGGCAUGAGAAAUCAAACGAGCACCAACCAUCUCACCAAUUAAUUCAGCAAGAUUGGGAGCAACAACAUUCAUCUUCUGAACCAAAUAGUUAUGU